UCUGCACACUGGUUGGCUGGCUUCUACUUGCUUGUCAUAGCAACCAGCGAGGCCGCCGGGCUUUGUUGUUUCCUUGCCUACAGUUUUAUUUUUAAAUCCUAGUCUCUGAGAUAAACAAAACAAGUUUUCCUCCCACUGGAAAAGCUAAUCUGAAUAUUGGCCGAAGGGGGAAAAAAAAGGCUCACCUACGGACAGAUGUCUUUAGACGUUUGUUCCGGGUGGGCAUUAGUGGGCUCCAGGGAAUAUCCUGGAAAUGCUACUUCUGACCUUGCUUCCUCUUCCGGAAACCUCUACUUGGUAGCUAGGUUUGGGUUGGUCUGGGGAAUAGAGUCAUCGGCUCCAGGUCGUUCAGGGCUACAAGAGGUUUGAGAAUCAAAUGUGUGCUACAUUAUGGUCUUUCUAAAACAACGGAUCCCCAGCAGAGGUACAAAUCAAACUAAAAGUGUUUGUCCCAGCACGCUGAUACCAGAUGGACUCAGAAGUGUUUGUCAAAUGACAGUGUAAUGUGUUCAAGGUUUGAACAAGACAAACAGAGUGUAUCUCAAGUUGUGAACAGAGAGAGAAGAGGCCGAAGAACAGAAUGUUACCCUGGAGAAAAGAAGGUGGUCAAGAUAGAAAAAGAAGGCUGAGGAUGACAGAAUGGAUAUCCAGGCUUGUGUCUGAGGAGGCCUGGCAGUUUCAGGAUUCCUGACCCAUUGUGUAAAGAAGUCUAGUUAUCCCUUGCUGGAGAGAUGACAGUGAACACACAGUGAAUCGUCAACUGUCGUCAACACCCCAAUGAAAGCAUCAGCUAUCUAAGCUGGGCCGAACCGGACAAUCCAUUCCAGUAGCACUCCCAAGCUGAAUGCAGCCACAGGAAACCACAAUGAAAGAUGAGCUAGACUCCAUUAGCCCUACCCAAACUGAGCAUCUGCGAGCAAAUAAAAGUGCCUGAAACCACA
Long non-coding RNA from Peromyscus eremicus (cactus mouse), 941 nucleotides. RefSeq lists it as uncharacterized. The transcript is spliced from 2 exons. Lineage: Eukaryota; Metazoa; Chordata; Mammalia; Rodentia; Cricetidae. The record is from RefSeq and is a predicted model, not a curated record.